CACCCUAUACAAAAUCACUUAUUUUUAGUUUAUUUGACUUAUUCUCACAAGUGGGUUUAGACAUUUGAAUUUUGUGAUAGUAAUUUCAUGUAAAGAAGAAUAAAGAAUAAGAUUUACCCUUAAUAAUUUCAUUGUAUUUAUAAAUGCACAAGUAGAUGUAUAUAAUAUACAUUGAUAGAUGUAGCUAAUAGCAGAUAAAUGCAUAAAUGCACAGUCAUUCACAUUUUAGCUUGAUUUACAUAAAUAUCAAGUCAGGAACUUAAGCAGUAGGGUAAGAUGCUUGCAUUGCAAUGCCACAUAGUCCUUCAGCAGCAUCGACUCCCCUUUGCAUCCUAAUGUAUCCUUCUUCUCCCCAAUCAGCUCCCCAUGAGUUCUUAACCAACCAAUACUUGCUUCCAUCACUAUCGAUACCAAAACCCACAGCAGUGACACCGUGAUCGAGCUCAGUUCCACAUGAACCAGUAAAAACACCGCUUUUAUAAAAUUGAAAGUCGGAUCCACUAGCAUCAAUGGCUACAGAAAUUGGUUGAUUUGCAACAGCUUUUUGUAGUGCCUGCUCAUUGUUUGCCGGGACAUCUUCAUACCCAGUAAUGGUAGCCGCUUGGGUGGAUGCUUGGUUUGCACUGCACGUUCCAUCAACGCCUUGAUAGGGGUAUUGAGCUUCCGUGCUGAGUCCAUGAUUUUGAAUGAUGAAUUUGAAAGCAUCAUCCAUAAGACCACCCUCACAACCUUGGUCCACACCUUUUGUGUCGCAAUCAACAAGUUCUUGUUCUGAUAAAGAGAUCAAUUUUCCUGUACUCAACUGAUGAAUUCCUUCUGUUGCCGCAACAGCAGAAAAGGCCCAACAACAUCCUACAAAAGGUAAAGUUAUAUUAGCUAGAAUUUGACAAAAAUUCAAUUUUUUACCACAUAAACCUCAAUUGAAUGCAUUACUUGUUAGAUAGACACUUACCGCAUUGGCCUUGAUUCUUCACUGGCGUCACAGCUCCUUUCUUCCUCCAAUCAACUGAGGAUGAAAUUACACUUAUAUUUUCAUACUUAAAAGUAGUUGUCCUUGUGAUUGAGGAGCACAUAUGUCCUUUGAACUUGUUUCUAGAUGUUGUGAACUCCUCAUUGGUGAGGUCUGCAAAUUGGUUAAUGCCUAAUUUGUAUGAUUUCUUAUUUUCAGCAUUGUUGGAUGCUUCAAUGUAGUUUACAUUUUCAGUGAAUAUCUUAAGACGUUUCUCCAUUUCUUGAGGAUCCUUAUAGACUUUGCCAUAGUGACUCAUCCAUUGUUGAUGCCUCUCAUAUAUAGACUUGUCUCCAAGAGUGCGAGAAGUGACUUGAAUAGCCAACAAUCCCAAGGAGAAAAGCAACAAUGCAAUACUAUGAUAUACUUGAUUUUUGGCAGCCAUUAUAGCUAGUCAAGUGUGACAAACAACUGCUUCUUAAGUUGAUUAGUUAGCAGUUAAAUGUGAGAAAGAUUUGUGGUGCUUAUACUUAAUAAUCUUUCUGGUAUUUAUACUUUAGAAAUUGAAUAGUAACAUUCUUUCUAGUUUUUAACUUAAGCUUAAAACAAAUUUAUAUUAAAUAAGUAGUUACGUAUUCGGGAGAAUUUUCUGAAUGAGACCUUUGUUUGAAUAGGUUGGCUAAAAAACUGAUCCAAACGACACUUUGUCCGUUGCUAUUAUUUAGGAUUAUAAAAAUAAAGGUUUGCCAAUCACCAAUUUGCGCAUGAACGGUCGUUUGUUUUUGAGAAAAUAGUUUGAAAAUGAACAGGUAUCUACUUGAAGUCUUACGUUCUAAUAACUAUAAACCAAUAAGCCAAAGGAAAAACGGAUUGUCUUAACGAAGAAGAAGAAGACCAACAACACGAGUGAAGCAAUUAAUUUUGUUCGGAGACGUAUCUCCGGAUGCACCUAAAUCAUAUAAGUCCUUCGUAAUUCGGCCGCACAUUUCAUAUUUUUCAAAAAUGGAUCCAGAGAUACAUCUUCCAAUAUUAUUUGGAUGUAUCCGGAGAUGGAUAUCCGUAACACCUCAUGAAUUCUUUCUUAGCCGCUACAUUGUCCUAAAUUUGAUAAUUUUUUUAGGUCAACAUAUUUUAGAUCAUUUAAGGCCAUAAUUUAGAAGGAAAACACAAAAAUUAAUUGCUUCAAUUAUACUAUACAAUUAUGAAAAGAGACAUACAAUUAUCAUAACGUACCAACCAUACAUAAUUUGUUCCCAAAAUACAAAAAAAAAAUAAUACAACCAAACAUAAACUACUGGGUAUGUCUAAUUCCCCGACUUCUCAUCCGUCUAUACUGCAAGGCAUUCCUUGUCUUGACAAUCAUGUCUUCUACGAGGGUCAACUGAGGACUACCUUCCUAAAAAAAUCCAGACUCUAUGUUUGAUCUCCUCAUAUCCACAAAAUGCCGACAAACCACCGCGAUGUCCUCGAUGUCGUCAUCCCUAACCUAUAGUUUCUUCGGAUUCAGAAGAGAAGGAUAACAUGGCAGCACCACAACCCCCCGCUAUGGGGGACUAUUGCAAACAGACUGAUGAAGGACAGGUUUCUAGAGGGUUUGUACCAGAAGACCCUUCUAACUUUGAUAUUAAGAAUUUUGUGCUUUCAGGUCUAACAGACAAUCCAUUCGACGGGAACGCUAUCAGAGAUCCACAGGCUCAUCUUGCACGCUUAUACGAAACAACUUUAAUGUGCAAACCUGAUGGUGUCUCAAACAACCAAGUAAGGUUACAGUUGUUUGGUUUCUCACUCAUUGGAAGGACUAAAGAUUGGUUAUUAUUCCUUCCAAAAGGAACCAUUUGAACAUGGAAGGAGCUAGAGGAUAAGUUCUUUGAACGGUUUUUUACCAAUAGCCAGUUUACUGAGAGGAGAGUUGAGAUUGUCAAUUUUGAGAAACAAGACUCUGAGUCACUAUAUGACUCCUGGGAGAGAUUCAAGUUACUACUAAA
This 2934-nucleotide long non-coding RNA is filed under the name Lathyrus oleraceus (garden pea). RNAcentral describes it as "Pisum sativum (pea) long non-coding RNA (PSAT_LNC038439)". Lineage: Eukaryota; Viridiplantae; Streptophyta; Magnoliopsida; Fabales; Fabaceae. The record is from RNAcentral.